UACGUAGGGACCAAGCGUUGUUCGGAUUUACUGGGCGUAAAGGGCGCGUAGGCGGCAAUUCAAGUCAGCUGUGAAAUCUCUGGGCUUAACCCAGAACGGCCAGCUGAUACUGCUUUGCUAGAGUGCAGAAGGGGCAAUCGGAAUUCUCGGUGUAGCGGUGAAAUGCGUAGAUAUCGAGAGGAACACCUGCGGCGAAGGCGGGUUGCUGGGCUGAUACUGACGCUGAGGCGCGAAAGCCAGGGGAGCGAACGGGG
Molecule: ribosomal RNA, 254 nt
Filed under: uncultured bacterium
Lineage: Bacteria
Description: partial 16S ribosomal RNA
Rfam family: Bacterial small subunit ribosomal RNA
Source: RNAcentral